This 497-nucleotide ribosomal RNA is filed under the name uncultured bacterium. RNAcentral's name for it is "partial 16S ribosomal RNA". It matches the Rfam family "Bacterial small subunit ribosomal RNA", at positions 28 to 507 of the family's 1533-position model. The record is from RNAcentral.
GAUGAACGCUGGCGGCGUGCCUAAUACAUGCAAGUCGAGCGAACAGAUGAGGAGCUUGCUCCUCUGACGUUAGCGGCGGACGGGUGAGUAACACGUGGAUAACCUACCUAUAAGACUGGGAUAACUUCGGGAAACCGGAGCUAAUACCGGAUAAUAUAUUGAACCGCAUGGUUCAAUAGUGAAAGACGGUUUUGCUGUCACUUAUAGAUGGAUCCGCGCCGCAUUAGCUAGUUGGUAAGGUAACGGCUUACCAAGGCAACGAUGCGUAGCCGACCUGAGAGGGUGAUCGGCCACACUGGAACUGAGACGCGGUCCAGACUCCUACGGGAGGCAGCAGUAGGGAAUCUUCCGCAAUGGGCGGAAGCUUGACGGAGCAACGCCGCGUGAGUGAUGAAGGUCUUCGGAUCGUAAAACUCUGUUAUUAGGGAAGAACAAAUGUGUAAGUAACUAUGCACGUCUUGACGGUACCUAAUCAGAAAGCCACGGCUAACUACGUG